CAGCACCUCAAGUGGUCAGGAUGAUUAUUGGGCCUAAAGCAUCCGUAGCCGGCGCUGUAAGUUUUCGGUUAAAUCUGUACGCUCAACGUACAGGCUGCCGGGAAUACUGCAGCGCUAGGGAGUGGGAGAGGUAGGCGGUACUCGGUAGGAAGGGGUAAAAUCCUUUGAUCUAUUGAUGACCACCUGUGGCGAAGGCGGUCUACCAGAACACGUCCGACGGUGAGGGAUGAAAGCUGGGGGAGCGAACCGGAUUAGAGACCCGAGUAGUCC
RNAcentral lists this ribosomal RNA (270 nucleotides) under uncultured archaeon. Its description in RNAcentral is "partial 16S ribosomal RNA". It matches the Rfam family "Archaeal small subunit ribosomal RNA", at positions 477 to 747 of the family's 1478-position model. The record is from RNAcentral.